This 578-nucleotide unclassified non-coding RNA is filed under the name Trichoderma crassum. RNAcentral describes it as "partial contains 18S rRNA, ITS1, 5.8S rRNA, ITS2 and 28S RNA". The stretch from base 215 to 368 matches the Rfam family "5.8S ribosomal RNA". The record is from RNAcentral. Lineage: Eukaryota; Fungi; Ascomycota; Sordariomycetes; Hypocreales; Hypocreaceae.
GCGGAGGGACAUUACCGAGUUUACAACUCCCAAACCCAAUGUGAACGUUACCAAACUGUUGCCUCGGCGGGAUCUCUGCCCCGGGCGCGUCGCAGCCCCGGACCAAGGCGCCCGCCGGAGGACCAACCAAAACUCUUAUUGUAUACCCCCUCGCGGGUUUUUUACUAUCUGAGCCAUCUCGGCGCCCCUCGUGGGCGUUUCGAAAAUGAAUCAAAACUUUCAACAACGGAUCUCUUGGUUCUGGCAUCGAUGAAGAACGCAGCGAAAUGCGAUAAGUAAUGUGAAUUGCAGAAUUCAGUGAAUCAUCGAAUCUUUGAACGCACAUUGCGCCCGCCAGUAUUCUGGCGGGCAUGCCUGUCCGAGCGUCAUUUCAACCCUCGAACCCCUCCGGGGGGUCGGCGUUGGGGAUCGGCCCUUCACGGGGCCGGCCCCGAAAUACAGUGGCGGUCUCGCCGCAGCCUCUCCUGCGCAGUAGUUUGCACACUCGCAUCGGGAGCGCGGCGCGUCCACAGCCGUUAAACACCCCAAACUUCUGAAAUGUUGACCUCGGAUCAGGUAGGAAUACCCGCUGAACUUAA